AUGGAGGACACAGGGGAUGGGGAUGGAGACAUCACGGCCAUGUCACACGGCCAUGAGAGAUAAAGAGCCUGGAGAAGGACAGGGACACUGUGGCAGUGUCACACUGUGCCCUGUCACACACUGUGCCAUGUCACACAGGGAUGUCGUUCCUGAGGGGACAGGGUGGUUCCUGUCCCCUGUCACUGUGUGUGACAGGUCACCAGGGGCACAGUGGCAUUCCUUGUCCCUCACUGUCCUGUGGGAUGACGUCACCAUCGAGGAGACAAGAGCCUGGAGACCCCGAGUGACAGGUGACACCCCCGUGGCCUUGGCUGGUGUCACCGUGUCACCUCCAGCCGGCUCUGGUCACCCCUGGGGACACCAGAGCUGCUCUGUGUCCCUCAGCCCUUGGGGACACUCGUGUCACCAUAAACUGCCUUUGUCCCUGCA
Long non-coding RNA from Oenanthe melanoleuca, 429 nucleotides. RefSeq lists it as uncharacterized. Lineage: Eukaryota; Metazoa; Chordata; Aves; Passeriformes; Muscicapidae. The record is from RefSeq and is a predicted model, not a curated record. The transcript is spliced from 2 exons.